GAUUUCGCUUAGGCAGCUCUCAGACUGCAGUGGAAAUGAUACAGAGCAGACUAGCAUCGCUCCUACGAGGAUGGCAUGCAGAUCUGUGAAGUGCUCCAUAUUGUG
RNAcentral lists this small nuclear RNA (105 nucleotides) under Sorex araneus (European shrew). The record is from RNAcentral. Lineage: Eukaryota; Metazoa; Chordata; Mammalia; Eulipotyphla; Soricidae.